UAGGGAAUCUUCGGCAAUGGACGAAAGUCUGACCGAGCAACGCCGCGUGAGUGAAGAAGGUUUUCGGAUCGUAAAACUCUGUUGUUAGAGAAGAACAAGGACGUUAGUAACUGAACGUCCCCUGACGGUAUCUAACCAGAAAGCCACGGCUAACUACGUGCCAGCAGCCGCGGUAAUACGUAGGUGGCAAGCGUUGUCCGGAUUUAUUGGGCGUAGAGCGAGCGCAGGCGGUUUCUUAAGUCUGAUGUGAAAGCCCCCGGCUCAACCGGGGAGGGUCAUUGGAAACUGGGAGACUUGAGUGCAGAAGAGGAGAGUGGAAUUCCAUGUGUAGCGGUGAAAUGCGUAGUUAUAUGGAGGAACACCAGUGGCGAAGGCGGCUCUCUGGUCUGUAACUGACGCUGAGGCUCGAAAGCGUGGGGAGCAAACAGG
This 429-nucleotide ribosomal RNA is filed under the name Gemmatimonadota bacterium. Its description in RNAcentral is "Gemmatimonadetes bacterium partial 16S ribosomal RNA". It matches the Rfam family "Bacterial small subunit ribosomal RNA", at positions 355 to 776 of the family's 1533-position model. Lineage: Bacteria; Pseudomonadati; Gemmatimonadota. The record is from RNAcentral.